Molecule: long non-coding RNA, 267 nt
Filed under: Prunus persica (peach)
Lineage: Eukaryota; Viridiplantae; Streptophyta; Magnoliopsida; Rosales; Rosaceae
Description: long non-coding RNA (PPER_LNC002653)
Source: RNAcentral
GCGGCUAGGGGUGGUGAGGUGACGGUGGGUGGAGGCUGAGAGGAGGGAGGUUGCGGGGUUGGAGAGGUGGGGUUGGGUAAUGCUGGGUUUGUUUGUUUUGGGGUUACUUUUUUUAAUUUUUUGUUGUUUAUUUUUGUAUUUAUCUGAUUUAAAUUUUUUUAAUUAAUUUAAACAAUAUAAAAAAAAUUAUUACUUUUUAAGUCCAUGUCAGCUGGAAAAAAAAGCCAUAUUAGUGGUGAGCUUCAAUUUUUUCAAUUUUAAAAUUAG